RNAcentral lists this ribosomal RNA (402 nucleotides) under uncultured bacterium. RNAcentral's name for it is "bacterial SSU rRNA". It matches the Rfam family "Bacterial small subunit ribosomal RNA", at positions 355 to 774 of the family's 1533-position model. The record is from RNAcentral.
UCGGGAAUUUUGGGCAAUGGGCGAAAGCCUGACCCAGCAGCGCCGCGUGAGGGAUGAAGUAUUUCGGUAUGUAAACCUCGAAAGAAUGGGAAGAAUAAAUGACGGUACCAUUUAUAAGCUCCGGCGAACUACGUGCCAGCAGCCGCGGUAAUACGUAGGGAGCAAGCGUUGUUCGGAUUUACUGGGCGUAAAGGGCGCGUAGGCGGCGCGGUAAGUCACUUGUGAAAUCUCUGAGCUUAACUCAGAACGGCCAAGUGAUACUGCUGUGCUAGAGUGCGGAAGGGGCAACCGGAAUUCUUGGUGUAGCGGUGAAAUGCGUAGAUAUCAAGAGGAACACCUGAGGCGAAGGCGGGUUGCUGGGCCGACACUGACGCUGAUGCGCGAAAGCCAGGGGAGCAAACG